This is a non-coding RNA of Vararia minispora EC-137, 71 nucleotides long. The record is from the annotation of a GenBank genome assembly. Lineage: Eukaryota; Fungi; Basidiomycota; Agaricomycetes; Russulales; Lachnocladiaceae.
GUUGCCUUAGCUCAGUGGUUAUGCGUGAUCUUUUUGCGAUGGCUGCUUGGGUUCGAAUCCCACAUGUGUCA